GCUGCCUGCAACUUGUGCAUACAUUGCUUCACCACUAAUUCCUUGGGAUUAAACUCUGACAUUGCAGGACGAUCUCCCAUCCCCUGACCGCAACAGCAUGGACCAAAUAAGUGACAAAGGAAAUAUGGAAUGUGCUUGCCAACCUGGCCUCCAGACAUUAAUGGCAGAGUACUCAAGAGAAGAAAAAGACGUGGCAAAUUUCCUACUAGAAAUGGCUUCACGGACAAGGCUUACAGAAAGCAAGGCUGCCCAAGUGACAUCGGGUACUUUUCCACAGAAGUUUGUGAACACGAUAAAUAGUAGCAACGUAAAUACAUUCACAGGCCUGCCAUCAUUCGAUGUUCUGAAUGCUCGUGUGACGUGCUACACAAAAAUUCAUCCACUUUCAGGACGGCACCAGUUAUGUGUAAAAACAAUUGCAUUGACAUUGGUGAAAUUGAAGCAUAUUUCCACUGCAUUCUUGAGUCACCUUUUUAACUGUUCUCUAACUACAUGUAGCAACAUAAUUGCAGAGACUGCUCAGUUGAUGUGUGAAAUUUUAAAAGUAACUGUGGCUGUGCCACCAAAAGAUGAAUUCCAGUGGCACGUUUGCAUAUUCGGCAUUAGGUGAUUCACCUGAAGUCGUGCCAUGGCUGGCGAUAUUGCAAGUAGCCUGUAUUGCAUAGAGGCAUUUGUGCGUGUGACCUUGGCUCCAUCAAAGCGUGGCGGCCUUGAGAGUAAGUGCGGUCUUCUGUUUGGAAAUCCAGCAUUUUUUAUGCCACUCAGCCACUUCAUACUUUUCAGACACGGUCGUUGCCAUGUGAUCUACAUGCUGCACUUGUUUGCAUUGGCCAAACCUGCAGACUUCAACUUCAACACACUUUUUGUAAAUUAGCAAUGCACAUUCUUUUGCAACUUGUAUUCUUCAUUGAAGUGCUGAUUUACACUACGCAUUCUGAUGCAAGUUUUCAUCUUAUGGUAUUCCGAGAUAUUUGCAGUUCACUUAUGAUCUGUGUGCAUAGAGUUGUGGUUAUUCUUCAAUGGCUGUUUGUUGUCCCUUUCCUUACUUGUAUUUUUUCACAAAAUAAACCACAUGCACUCAA
Non-coding RNA from Dermacentor albipictus, 1082 nucleotides. The record is from RefSeq and is a predicted model, not a curated record. NCBI's taxonomy places the organism in Eukaryota, Metazoa, Arthropoda, Arachnida, Ixodida, Ixodidae.